ACGAAGGGGGCUAGCGUUGCUCGGAAUUACUGGGCGUAAAGCGCACGUAGGCGGCUCUUUAAGUCGGGGGUGAAAUCCUGGAGCUCAACUCCAGAACUGCCUUCGAUACUGAGGAUCUUGAGUUCGGGAGAGGUGAGUGGAACUGCGAGUGUAGAGGUGAAAUUCGUAGAUAUUCGCAAGAACACCAGUGGCGAAGGCGGCUCACUGGCCCGAUACUGACGCUGAGGCACGAAAGCGUGGGGAGCAAACAGGA
RNAcentral lists this ribosomal RNA (253 nucleotides) under uncultured prokaryote. Its description in RNAcentral is "partial 16S ribosomal RNA". It matches the Rfam family "Bacterial small subunit ribosomal RNA", at positions 525 to 777 of the family's 1533-position model. The record is from RNAcentral.